CAGUAGCCGCGGUAAUACGAAGGGUGCAAGCGUUAAUCGGAAUUACUGGGCGUAAAGCGUGCGUAGGCGGUGAGUUAAGUCUGCUGUGAAAUCCCCGGGCUCAACCUGGGAAUGGCAGUGGAUACUGGCUCGCUAGAGUGUGUCAGAGGAUGGUGGAAUUCCCGGUGUAGCGGUGAAAUGCAUAGAGAUCGGGAGGAACAUCAGUGGCGAAGGCGGCCAUCUGGGACAACACUGACGCUGAGGCACGAAAGCGUGGGGAGCAAACAGGAUUAGAGACCCCUGUAGUCCCUGUCUCUUAUAC
RNAcentral lists this ribosomal RNA (301 nucleotides) under uncultured bacterium. Its description in RNAcentral is "partial 16S ribosomal RNA". It matches the Rfam family "Bacterial small subunit ribosomal RNA", at positions 509 to 807 of the family's 1533-position model. The record is from RNAcentral.